This is a long non-coding RNA of Monodelphis domestica (gray short-tailed opossum), 13545 nucleotides long. RefSeq lists it as uncharacterized. NCBI's taxonomy places the organism in Eukaryota, Metazoa, Chordata, Mammalia, Didelphimorphia, Didelphidae. The record is from RefSeq and is a predicted model, not a curated record.
UAAUAGACAACCACUAGAGUUCAGUGAGUAGAGUUGUGAUUUAAGAAGAUCACUUUAGGAGCUGUUUAUAGCUAUGUGGAGGAUGGACUAAAGUAAGGAGAAACUUGGGGCAUUGAGACCAGUUAGAAUGCUAUUUAAGUAGUCCAUACAAGAGAUGAUAAGGCCUUGAACUAGGAUGGUAAGUAGCUGUAGAGAAAAAGUAGAAAAGGUAGGAAAAAGGGAACAGAUGUGAAAGAAACACAAUGAGAGUUGAUAACUGAUUGUAUAUAACAAUAAUAUUAAUAACAUUUAAUAGCACGUUAAGAUUUGCAAAGCACUUUACAAAUAUUGACCCUUUUUAUGCUCAUAAAGCCUUGGGAGCUAGUGCUAUUGUUAUCCCCAUUUUAUAGAUGAGGAAAUUGAGGCCUAAAGAGGUUUUGGUGACUUGCCCAGCAUUAUACAGCUAUUAAGUGUCUGAAGCAAGAUUCAAACUUAGGUCUUAUUGUGGCAUUUAAAAGAGUGGAUGCCUUAAACUGUAAUAAUUAAAAUAGUUGAAGCCAUAAACUGUAAGAGUUAAAAUGGUUGAGGGUCAUAAAUGGUAGUGAUUAAAAUAGUGGAAGAUAUAAAUUGUAGUAGAUAUAAGAGUGGGUGAGUAAAUUGUGACCGCAGAAAAUAUGUUUUCACUACAGUGUCUUGUUUUAAAUGAAAUAUAAGGUGGUCGCCAGGGAAAUAUUCCCAAUUAUGAAUAUACCCAAGUCAACUGGGUUUUAUAGAAAAUUUAAUUAAUAAUACAAUGAGGAAUCAAAGAAAGAGAGAGAGAGAGAGAAAAAAAAGGAAAUAAAUGAGAAAAGAAUAGGCCGGCCCAGGCAGCCCUGGCCAACCCAGGCCUAAGCCCUAAAAGAAAAGAUCAGUCAGUCCUUAUAUCUUAAUCACUCACCAUAAGAUCUGUUCAAGAGAGGAUUCAGAGGGACAGAGUCUCCCCAGAGGGAGUUCCAGCCAGAGUCAGCCUCCCUUGAGAGACCACCUUAGAGAUUGUCCUUCUCUCAACAACCUCCUUAGAGACUGUCUUUUGAGAGAUCCAGAGAAUCCCUGUUUUUCAGCUUUUCCUUUCCUUAUAAAGGGAAAUUUUCCUUUGUCACCUCCCCUAAAUUCUUACAUCUACCAAUCACAGUAAAUGUUUUUCAAAGGACAGACCAUUCUUAGUCCACACCUAAGAAGGUGUGGAUUUUUGAGUAAUUCACACCAGGAAAGCUCUGAGUAAGUUUCCCAGUUCUUUGUUCCUUGUAAAUUCACAAGUUGCCUGACCUUUAUAGAUACUUAUCAACCUUUUUUUUAGUCUUAAAAAUAGGCAUGGCUUAAGUAUGGGUGUAAGUAUUUUUCAUUGUUCAGCAAGGAGUUUUCUCCCCUAAAGCAGGCUUAAGUACAGGUGGAGUAGAGGUCUUCACAUUUCUGAUCUAAGUAGAGUUCUCACAUUUUAGGUCUAAGUAGCUUCACUGUUUAAAAUGGGGAAUAGCCCCAAUAGGGAAUUGUCCCAAUGAAAAAUUCCCCAAUGGGGAAUUUUUUAACAUUCACAAGUCUGAGAAAUUUCAAGAUUCACAUUAUUGACUGACUUCAGUACUAUAUGCACUGUUACCUAUGUGGAGGAAUGACUCAAGGAUGACCUUAAGCCUGUAAAGCUGAGUGAAUAGGGAGGGCAGUGGUGUCCUUGACAGUAAUAGGGAAGUUCAGAAGUGGGGUGGGAUAAAGGAAAGAAAAGAUAAGUUCUGGCCAGGUCACAUUGAGUCUUAGAUGCCUAUAGAAAAUCCAGUUCCAAAUAUUAUAUUGGCAAUUGGUGAUGUAUGGGAGUGGCGCUCUCAGGAAAGACUACUCCACCAUACAUCUACUCAGCCAGGUUUCAACCCCAGGGAACAAGAUGUCCCUCCCAGGAUAAAGUCAUCAUUCCUAAUUGUAAUCUAGUUCUAAUUUCUAAUCACCACACUGCUAACUCAAGCCUUGAUUGUCACCACCUCCUUCGGCCUCCUCUUCCUUCUGGAGGACUGGAGAGUGGAGUACCAAAUUCCUCCCAUGGCUUUCCUUUCUAGAGAUGAGGAACUAGACUCUGAGCCCACUCCACUUUUUAUCUCCUACUCUGCCUGGUUUCAGCUUCAGAAAAAUAAGUUAAUGUCCCCUGGUAUCUUGGUCACAUACCACCCUUCCUGCCUCCUUUUGUGUGAUGUCUUUCCCAUAUCCUCAUUAGACUGUAAGGUCCUCGAGGGCAGAGACUGUCUUUUUUAUUAAUUGUAUAUCCAGCACUUAGCACAGUGUCUGGCACUUAGUAGUGCCAUUUAGUAGUAGAACUAAAUUAGAUUGGAGAAACUGGGACCUCUUUGUAUGUGCUGAAAAGGAUAACUUAAGCAGCUUCAAUCAGUUUAUAUUGUUUUAUGCCUUUUUAUAGCUUUAAGAUCCCUACAUGUAAUCUCAUUAGAUAUUCAACAUUAUAGUGAUAAAACCAGAUGUUCCUAAGGCUGUGGAUUCAUUUAACCUUGAUAAAAAUCACAAAAUGACUUUAGUCAUCUUUAUAUCACCAUAUAUGGUACAUAUAUACAUAUUUAUAUAUAUAUAUAUUUGCAUAUAUGUAUAUGUGGGACUCAUCUAUAGAAAGAUGAUAAUUAAACCAAUAGGAGCUAUACUAAACAAGUAUAUAAAGAGAAGAGGUCCUAGAACUGAGCUUUGGAGUUUACUCAUAAUUAGAGGACAUAAUAGGGAUGAUGAUAUAUCAGAGGAGACAGAGAGGGACUAUUGAGGCAGGUAGAAGAACCAAAAGAAAUCAGUGUCAUGAAAAUCCAGAUAGAAAAGAGAAUCUAAGAGGAGAGGGUGAGAGUGGUCAGUAGUGUUAAAUGCUACAAAGAGACCAAGAAGGAUGAGAACUGAGAAAAGGCCAUUGGAUUUGACAAGAGAUCAUUGGUAACUUUGGAGAGCAGUUUCAGUUGAGUGAUAGUAUCUGAAACCAGACUGCUAUGGAUUGAGAAGAGAAAAAAUGGAGGGGGUUCGUAUCAAUAGCUCCUCAAGGAUUUUAGUUAAGAGGAGUGUAAAGAUUAAAAUUUAGGGGAGACUGAGGCAGGUAGAAAUUAGUUUCUCGAUGCAAGGAGUAUUAUAUUUAUGAGGUUUAUUAAAGGUUGAGAAUUUAAGAAUAUACAAGUAAGAAAAGGCAUGUGCCAGGUGGGCCAUAAGGCCCACCCAAAAUUUCACUCACAUCAUGAGGUGCAUCUGUUUGUCAGCAGAGACAGGAAGUAAAGAGACCUUGCCUACAGGGAAGACCCUUUAAAUAAAAUUUUGCUCUUGUCCCAGUGAGAUUAGAGGGCAUUCUGGGAGCUAGCAAGGACGCCUGGGAUCUGUUAUUUCAUUAGCUAGGAAGCUCUUUGUCCAUCAACCAUUGAUUGCUCUGCAAUUUCUUAGGGCUAGAGAGGUGCCUGGGGUUAUAAGACUAGAGCCACUUGCCCAGGGUCAAAAAGUAAGUUUAUUUUAAUCUGCUUAGUUCUCUAUCUUCUUCCAUGAAAUCUCUCUUAAAAUUGUUUGAGAAAUUUUAUGGCCAAAAAUACAUGAAUGAGAAUAUGUAUACGCUAUAUGUAAUAGCUUACACUUGUAAGAUUUAUAAAAUAUUUUCUUUGAAAUAACCCCAAGAAGCUGGGGAUGAAAGAAUUUUUACCCCUAUUUUGCAGAUGAGAAAAAUGAGGCUUAGAGAGAUAAGUGACUUCCCUUAGUCACACAAAUGUUAAGGGCCAGAGCCAGGAUUCACACCCAGACCCUCAAACUCACACCUGUGCUCAUUGCACUAUGCCAAUUGCCUACUAUAGCAUAUCACAUAUAGAAUUUUUUCACAUUAUGGUUGCUCUGUAAAUAUUAAACUGAUGAGUAUGGUCUAACCAGACUUCCUUUGUAUUGAGUAAAAUUAUAAGAACCAUGUCCGUAUACCCACAAAUAAUGAAUUGCCCUGUUUGCUCUAAAUGAGCAGUUGGCUGAUAAUAGUUUCUGGCUAGAGUGUUUGCUGCUGGUCCAAGGACUUUCAGUUUCAGUUUGUACUGAACAAAAAAGAAUCCCAGCAUACAAAGAAUAAACUCCAGGGGAAAUAUAAGAUAUUGUCAAGAAGUGCCCAGAGAGUUUUAUGUAGCCUACAUGCAUUGCAUGCACGCAUCUUAUCUUCUAGUAAUCAUGCCAUCAAAAUAGUUUGUGUUUUACAUUGCUUUCCUCAGUAGUGGUGAUGGGUUCAUCUGGUCCAUUCCCACAUACUCAUCCAAUGUCCCUUGUGACCAUUAGUGCAUACUUCCAAUUCAGCUGGCCAACUUUUAGAGGAGUCUGUGGCCAUGAAAGCUAUUGCAAAGGUCAAAUGUCAGAGUAUCAAAGGGCGUAACUUACAAUAAUAGUGAUGGGCAGACAGAGGAAUGGUGUGAAUGGAUCAGGUGUACUGGUUGGGCCCAUGCGUGGAAAUAACCAGACGGAAUGGGACAGCCCCCCAUCCAGUAAAACCUCAUAGGGUGGGGUGGGGGUGGAUUUUUUGUUUUGUUUUGUUUUAAAUAAGGUUCUUAUCUGGGUCAAAUAGGACCAAACAUUUGGGGAAGUGAGCAAGGAGUCUGGAUCUAGGAUGUAAUUCUGAUUCGUGCUAGUUGGGAGAGGGAAGCCUCUUGGGGGAUUAACUGCUAGUCAAACUCCCCACCUCUCAAAAGGGAGUUUGGCCUAUUAUGGCUGGUUUUACUCUGGCAGUAUUGCUCCAGGGUUUAGAGCUUGUAGGAUGGAAAGGAUACUGAGGUCAUUACACUAUCCAAAUCGUACCUUUCUUUCAAAGGCCAAUUGAAUCUCACCUCCUUCAAGUAGCUUUACCAGAUUAUUGCAGCCCAAAGUAAUUUCAUUCUCCUUUGAACAAAAUGCACUUUCUGUGCAUUUUUCUUAAUUAAAUAUGUUUUUCCUCAUUGCAACUCUUGCUUUGUGGUCCCAUGUUGUUAGUUGUAUUGCUCUUUAAUUUUUCACAUUUCUUGUCUACACAGUAAAUCUUUGAAGUGCUGAUCUGGUUCUUAAUGUCCUCUGAUCCUCCACAGCAGCUGUCACAUGUUGCAUAACAUACUAUAGGCAAUCAAUAACUAUAUGUUGAUAAGUGUUUUUCCAAUUUUUCUUAUUAGCAGAUCCACUCCUAACAAGCAGCAUGCCACCUGCCAAUAAUCACACUAGGGAUUUAUUAUUGUCUCUGAAUCCUAUGAUGAAGUAGAGACAGCCUGUCAGAGUUAGACAGGCUACAGGUAUUCUCAGUUCUAGUUAACCAUUGUUCUAUUGUAUGAACAAAGUAUGAUAAAGCAGCAGCACUGGGGUGCCAGAGUUCACAGCCAUCCUUUGAAGAUAACUGUAGCAAGGUCAGGUGACACCUUCUUUGAGAAUCAAUACACAUCAUAUGCAGAAAUGCCUCCUUAGGAUUUAAGACCAUUUGAAGCUCUUUGUAGAUGGUUUCUAAAUAUAGUACCUCUUCAGAUACAUAGGCAUGCUCUUAAGAAGUAUGAAUUUUUAUAUCAGUUCACAUUUGAAAUGCAAUGAGAGCAAGCAUUUGUGGUGUCUUUGAAAAGUGAAUAAUCACCCCUAAUUUGUGUGCUUUGUAAGUAGGAAUAAAAUGAAUAAAAACACUAGAUCUAAUUUGCUCUAAAGCAAGUCCUUUGUAAACAUUUGCAUAAGUCAAAUAGUAAUAAAUUCAAUUCAACUCAUCAAAUGAUUGGGCACCUACAAUAUAUAGUAAUAUGCUAAUUGGGAAAGGACUAGAAAUUGAUUAAAAUAAGUGGAAAUCAGAGCUAGGAGCCUGGAUAACUUAAUUUGCUAAAUAAAUGAAGAGCCUUCACAGAUUUUUUUUUUUAGGGAGAAGUAAAGGACAUUCUUCCUUCUACUCCCAAACUACUACAUGCUGCUGAAGGACUUCUUUAAAAUAUUAUGAGUGGGUCCACUGCACAUUCACUACAUAUUGUCUUAUCUAAACUGGACCUUCUUCAUUGCUACACAAUAAUCCAUUGAGUUCUUCCUCUAUUAACACUUGAACACAAUCCCAUGUUCCAAACAUUCUUCUCUCUCUUCAAGUCCUCAAUUUCACCUCAAUCUUGAUGCCUCUCAAAUAAUCAUCUGGCUUUCUACUUUAUUGAGAAAAUUAAAGACAUCUGUUUGGAAUGCCCCUUAUCCCCUGCCUCAUACCUUAAAACACACUUUCUACAUUUUGAUGUGUUCUUCCAUUCCUCCAGCUUUCUUGCCAAGGCUGUCACUUCAAUUUGUGCCCUUGAACCCAUUCUCUCCCAUCUCCUCCAGCACUGUUCUGCUUCAGUCUGUUUGUUUCUGUCUCUCUCUUUCUCUGUCCCCAAGUUUGUCUCUCCCACCUUCUUACUUUCAUUUGCUCCUUGUCUGCCAACUCCUUCCCUGUUACAUACAAAUAUGCAAGAUCUACUCUCCUUUAAAAAGAAACCCAUUGCUUGAUUCUAACAUCCUCUUAAGGGUCAUCCCAUAUCUCGCUUCCCAUUGCUGCCAACUCUUAGAAUCAACACUAUUUCUCCUUCCACACUACUUGUAUCUUUUUGAAAUCCCUUGUAAUCUAACUUUUUUUAACCUUUACCUUCUUAGAAUCAAUACUAAGUACUGGUGACAAGGCGGAAGAAUAAGGGCUAGGGAACUUGGUUUAAGUGACUUGCCUGGGAUCACACAGAUCGGAAGUAUCAUAGGCCAGUUUGAACCCAGAACCUUCUGACUCUAGGCCUGACUUUCCAUCCACUGAGCCACCUAAUUGCCCCUGCAUACCUCUUUUAUGUGAAAUAAUUUUCCCCAUUCUUUCUCUUCCUUCUUCCUUUUCUUAAGGCAUCCCUCUUCUUUACUCAUCUAUUUUUUAAAUAUCAUUCCAACAUAAUUGACCUGUUCCUUCACCUUAUAUUUAUGCAAAAUCCUUCUAAUUGCCCUAAUAGUGCUAUAGUUAUUAGAAGUUAUAUGUAUUAUCUUAUAUAAAUAGAAACCAUUUAACAUUAUUGAGUCUCUUAUGAUUUCUCUUUUGUGUUUACCUUUUUAUGCUUCUCUUGAGUCUUGUAUUUGAAAGUCAAAUUUUCAAUUAGAUCUGGUCUUUUCAUCAGGAAUGCUCAAAAUUCCUAUUUUUAUAUUAUUUUCCCCUUUAGGGAUUAUAACCAGUUUUUUCUGGGAAGAUUAUUGUUAGCUACAAUCCCAGUUCUUUUGCCUUCUGGAAUACUAUAUUCCAAGCCUUCCAUUUCUUUAGUAUAGUAGCUACUAAAAUUUGUGUGAUUCUUACUGUUGCUAAUGCAGAACUGGGAGGGAACUAAAGGGUAAAGGGAUUAGAAGUUACAGAAUGGAUAAAGAGAUGAGUAGUAUUGGAAAACCAAUAGAGUGUGAUCACAUAAAGGAAUUUCAGAGUUUAUGAAUACCAAGGUGGUGCAUUUGUGAGUGAUGGCAAGAUCAAAACCAUCUUUACAUGUAUCCUGUUGGGGUGGAGUAAGUCAUGAAAAAUGAGAUUGAGGAACGCUAAGGCUAGGAUAUUUGAGAGAGUAAUAAUAUGUAUAUUGAAGUCCCCUAGUAUAAGGGCUGGGAAGAGAGAAAGAUUGUGAGCCAGGCACUGAAUUCAUUGAGGAAGGAAGAAGAGUAUCCUGAAGGAGGUUAAACAUCAACUAACAAGAUUUUAAUUGGAUAGUGGAUGUGGACUGCAUGAACCUGAAAGCUGGAGAGCUUCUUGAGUGAUGACUUGAGAAAUGACCCUAAAAGUGGUCAUGAGGACCAACUUCCCCACCUCUACAGCAAGUCCAGGGGAAUGAGUGAAAGUACAGUCAUCGCUGGAAACAGUGGCCAGGGAGGCCUUACCAUGAGGAAAGAGCCUCAUUCGUGAAAAUGAAAAGAUGGAAGACAUUGGAAAAGAAAAGAUUUAAUAAGAAUGCCCCAAAUCCAGGGUUCCCAGACAGUUCAAGUGCCCAAGUAGCUUUCCAUGAGGAGGGAGCAAACUUCUCCAAAUGUUACAUUCCUGGUUUCCAGGUGAGACAAAGUUCAGAGAAUUGGCACUAACUUGUGGCACAGAGGGGUAGCCUAGAAGGCUACUACCCCAAUCUAGAUUCAGUCCCAGAAUGCUCCUAUAGCUGCUCCCCUCCCCUGCCAAACCCUAAACUUGUGCUAAUUGCUCCACUCUUCCACAUUCUUGCCUCUUUGCUCAUCUCUGACACCUGUUUUCCUUCAGAGACAGUCUUACCUCUACAUAGUCAACAUGAGAAAUUGCUGCCAGAUAAGAGUAGGCCUUUCUUUCCCACCUACCAUCUUAUUUAUUUUCCAAUCCUCUCCUUUCAUUCUGUUUUCUUGAAAUAUCCUUAGCAUUUGUCCCCUUUGCUGCUUUAUCUGCAUUAUUUCUCCCCCAGCUGUUCCUUACAUACCCACAAUCCGAGGUUUAGACUCAACCCAAGAUACAGAGCACUCAUUAGUCAACUAAAGAAUAUUCAGAAUCUUUUCUAAAAGAACAAAAGAAGUUCAUGAAAAUUAAUGUCAUGUUAUUAAAAUAACUAAUUAUACUAACAAGUGAAGAGUUUUAAAAACUUAUCUCCCAGGGGGCAGCUAGGUAGCUCAGUGGAUUGAGAGCCAGGCCUAGAUAUGGGAGGUUCUGGGUUCAAAUCUGACCUCAGACACUUCCCAGCUGUGUGACCCUGGACAAGUCACUUAACCCCCAUUACCUUACCCUUACCAAUACACAGCAUUGAUUCCAAGAUGGAAGAUAAGGGUUGAAAUUUUAAAAAAACAACAACACCUUUAUCUCCCUAUCCUCUAUGUAGAAGUGGGAGAUUAUGGCAUAUACCAUCAGGCAUGAUCAUUGUUGGAUGAUUUUGUUAAAUUGUUUGUUUUGCUUUUUUGAAAUCUUUGCUUAAAAGGAUUACAGGCAGAAGUGGCUGGGUAACAUAUUGGAUAGAAAAUCAGGCCUACAGGCCGGAAGUCCAGGGUUCAAAUCUGACCUCAGACACUUUAUAGCUGUGUGACCCUAGCAAGUCACUUAACCCCAAAUGCCUAGCCCUUAACACUUUUCUACUUUUGAAAGAAGGUAAGGGUUCCUUUGUUUGUUUAAGGAUGACAGGGAGGAUAAGAGAUAGGGAGAAUAUAUUCAGAAAUUAAGGUGAUGACUUUGAAAGUCUCAGAAGGUUUAACCAACACAAUGACCAGCCAGGAUACCAGAAGGAUCAUGAUGAACCAUGCUAUCCAUCUCUUGACAGAUAAAUGAGAGACUUGGGGUACAGAAUGAAACAUCUUUUAGGGGCAUAGCCAAUAAGGGGAAUUUGUUUUUCUUGACUAUGCAUAUAUAUGUGUUUGUUUUGUUUUUCUUUAUCAUGGUGGGGAGGGGAAAAGGUGAGAAAAAAGUGGAUUUUCAUUCAUUAAAAAAUAAAACUAAUUUUUUUAAAUGAAGACAAUGUGAAAACAGAAAAUAUCCAUAAAAAUAAUUUUGAAUAUAUAACCCCAUUUCAUUAAACUCUGUAAUUGUUGUUCAAAGUUAUGUUCUAAUAAAAUCUUGUAUUUGUAACUAGAAUGAGAUAUGGCCCCUUGACAAGGCAACAACCUUCAGGCUUAAAGGUCUGAUUAGUAAGAUAAUGACAAAAUAUGAAAUUAUCUCACAUCUGACUGAUCAGAAGAGAAAAAGGAAUCCCAGAGCAUGUCUGCAAAAUUAAAUUUUUAAAAAUCUUCAAAUGAUUGAGAGAAACAUUUCUCCAGGGUUUCAUCAGGAAUACUGGACUUACUUUACUAGUAACUUUCCUCAGGACUUCUGCCCAAGGCAUGAGGAAACUGAAUAGUGAAAAGCAGGAGACAUUUUUUAAAAAAUCUCUUUUAGUAAUGGAAUUAAAAAACUCCUCCAAACACAUAUGCUCCUUUGGGCAACACUUUUCUAGAAGACCUUGGAAAGAAAAAGAGAGAAGAGUAGACUUUGAAGAAAAAGCAAUAACCAAGAAAGACUUGGAAUAAUCUAAGUUUAUGUACUAGGUCCUUUCUUGAUGAUCUCAUCUGCUCCUAAGGGUCACAUUAUUAUUACCAUGAAGGAGACCCCCAGAUCUACAUAGCCUACCCUAAUCUCAUGGCACAACUCUAGUCCCUUAUUACCGGUAGCCUGAUGUUCUUGGAUAUCCCAUUUGGAAUAUCAAACAACGUAUCCAAAAUAGAACCACUCACUUCCAACAAACUUUGCUAUUUCUAUUGAAAGCAACACUAUUCUUUGGGUCCAUAGCCUCAGAAUCAUCCGGAAUUUUUAUUUUCAUUUAUCAAUCAGUUGCCAUAUUGUGUCCAUGCCACUUCCAUGACCUUUCUCAUCUAUUUACUCUCUUCAAACUUGUUCAAUUCCUAAUCACCUCAUCAUUUCUUGAACAGUUUACUAUAAUGGCUUCCAAACUGAUCUCUGAUUUCAGCCUUUCUCCCUUCACCAAGUCAUCCUAAGGCAUAGGUCUCACUAUAUUAUGUCCUCAUCAAAAACCUAUAGGGGCUUCCUGUGGCUUCUAGGAUAAUAAGUCAUGGGAUAAAGUUUGCAUACUUAUUAGAAACCCCAAGUAACCAAUUCCAAGUACUUAAUCCAUUUUGGAAAACCCAACACUUUGGGAACUCUUUCUACAUUACUAAGUUUCAGGAACAAAAGAAUGUCAGACAAACUGUCCAGGCUUAUAUCACAAUAAAGCAAGCAAUCUAAACUGUUCAAAAGUAAAACAUUUAAAAAUUAAUAUGUAUAAGCCCCUAAAGUAUGCUCUAAGUGCAUUGCUAGACACUAUCCCAGGGGGCAACAUUCAUACCACUCAAAUGUCCACACUUGUAAUAAAAAUAUUAAUAGAUAAAUGUUCAAAACAUGCAAAAGUUAUUUGAAAGCAACUAAUCUGGGGGUACCUAGGUGAAUCAGGGGAUGAGAGCCAGGCCCAGAGAGUGGUGGUCCUGGGUUCAAAUCUUGCCUCAAGAUACUUCCUAUCCCUGUGACUCUGGACAAGUCAUUCAACCCCCAUUGCCUAAUCUUUACCACGCUUCUACCUGGGAACCAAUACACAAUAUUGAUUCUAAGGUGGAACAUGAGAGUUUAAAAAAGAACGAAAAGAAAGGAGAAAGGAAGGAAGGAAGGAAGGAAGGAAGGAAGGAAGGAAGGAAGAAAUUAGUCUGACUUAUCAAAGAAAUAUACAGAAAAAUUUAUUAAUUACUAUUUGGGAGUAAAAAAAAAAGAAAACACUAAUUUUUUCCAGUGGAUCCCAGCAGAACUAAAUGUUAGAUGCCAUACAAAGAAUCUUUCCAGUUGGUCCAAGGUAUUCUAAAUAUAUGUUGGACAAUUCUUCAUACUGGAGCAGGCCUUCUGGAAUACUCCCCAAGUCAUAACUCAUGGUCUCAGGCCCCAGGUGGCUGAAUUCAAGGUAUACCAUGAAUCUACUCUCUCAGGGCCCCCACUGGGAUGCUUAUCUUUAAUAUUUAUCCAGAAGACAAAAUUAGCCCAAAAUAAAGGCAUUUAUUGAGAUGGCAGAUCAUAAACCAUAGUGACAAAACAUUCCCCUCACCUCCUAAAUCUGAAACACAAUAUCCCACAACUAUUCAGAACAUUAAUAGUGAUGUACAUAAUAUACUGUAGUAGAGAGAAACACAUGUUGAAAACAUGGAGAACCAAGGCAACUUAUACAGCUGAUACUAUCAGAUCCCUAUGUUCCAUCCUUUCUUGUAGUAUCCUUAUGCCCUUCCUCUAGACAUAGGGUCUCUACUGGGUAGUUCUUUCAUUUGUGUUUCCUGGGUAUUUGCCUCUCUUUAGCUUAGCUUCUGACACACAGGGCUCCCACACUUGACUGAAAAAGCUUCUGUGUUCUCAUUCAUUCUCUGACUGGACCUGCUUCCUGAUAGAUGAGUAGCUCUGUGACAAGAUGGGAGUAAAAGAUACCUUCUACACUUGAAGAGAGCUUCUUGGGGAGAAGAAAUAAAUGUGAUUGGAGAGGGAUCUCCUUUGGAACUGACUCCAGAAAAGAAAGAAGGAAAAACUUUGGGAGCAGCAGACCUCCAUGAGAAGCCAAGUCCUCACCAUAUUCCAUAUUUCUAGCUUGCCACUCUGGAGACAUUGGAGAGAGUAUCUCUCAAGGGACCCUGCAUUCAGCAGAGGGAAAAAAGAACCCAUGCAAACCACUCAAGCAAGAUUUUGGCAGGAGCUGCUCCAUUUAUGACAUGCGGUCUAUCAACUAGAGAAGUGAAAGACACGUCACCGUCUGGUUUGUCCACUGAAGCAUAUUAUCGUCAAGGUGGCAUGUCGCAUGAGAAAAGCAACCUGGAGAGAGGUUUUCUUGUCACAGAAUGGCCCGCCUCAUGCUGAGCAUGACAGUGACCCUCCAUGCAAAGGAUAACAAUGCUUAUGGAAAACAAGCCGUGUCACUACAGUUCCCUGUGGAAUUUUCUAAGGAUUUUAGAGAGAAGGGACCUUCAAGAACAUUCCUCAUUUCACGGAUGAGAAAGAUGAGGACUUGAGAGGGGGCCAUAACCUGUCUGAGGAUUCUUGGGUUGGUAGUAAGUGGCAAAGACAGGAUCUGAUCUUUCAAAUCCAGUGUUCUUUCUUUUAUUCUCCAUGGUCUCCUACAAAGAGAUUACAGAGGGUGUCAGAAAUAUCCCUCUUACAUUUUAAAUCUUUCCUGUCUUUUUCCAAUUUUGUCUUCUUUAAAGUUCUGUAAUAAGUUCUAAAUAGCUACAAGCAAGAAUUCACCUAACCCAUUUCACCUCUUGACUACUCUGCUCCUUCCCUCCACUGCUUAAUGAUUAUCUGUUCUUGGUGUUUGAGAAUGAAGUUAAAGAAACAGCAUAAAAUAAUGAAAAUGGGAUAGCAGGGCACCUUUAGGCCUGAGAGACAGGCCUAAAGAUGGGAGUUCCUGGGUUCAAAUCUGGCCUCAGACACUUCCUAGAUGUAUGACGCUGGACAAGUCAUUUAACCCCCAUUUCCUAGCCCUUACUGCUCUUCUGCCUUAGAACCAAUACAUAGUAUGAUUCUAAGAUAGAAGGUAAGGGUUUUUAAAAAUAAAUAAUGAAAAAUAAAAUCAUGAAAAAAUCCUUGGCUUGGAAUUCAGAAGCAUGGCUUAGAACUAUCAUGGUGCCACUUACUUGUGAUCUUGGGGAAAUCUUAUUCUAUCUGAGCCUCAUUUUCCAUCUGUCAGAAUGGGAAUAACACCAGACAUGCCUACCUCCCACAGCUGCUAUAAGGAUUAAAUAACAUACAGACCCCUGUAUAAAGCACAUGUAUAUAUAAGUGGAUGAAUAUGCUAGCAAGUGGAUACACUAGCCCACAGUCCAGCAACGCUCCCCAGUGACCCUGCAAUCAGAUUUCAAUGGAUUUGGGAAAGAGUUAACAAAACAAAUAAAAAUACCAUAGAACACAGGUAAUUAAUACAUGGUUUUCUAAAUUAAUAUGAAGCACACAGGGACCUUUAUGUAUGAUUUAAUAGGACUAGUUGAGUUUGACAUUGCCCUAUCCUACACUGUAUAUCCUAUACCUACACUUACCCACUUGUAUAACCACUUUAUUACCUCUACUUAUGCGAUCCUUAAAUUAUAUAAUUCAAAAUAAAAAAAAAU